This 460-nucleotide ribosomal RNA is filed under the name uncultured bacterium. RNAcentral's name for it is "partial 16S ribosomal RNA". It matches the Rfam family "Bacterial small subunit ribosomal RNA", at positions 338 to 795 of the family's 1533-position model. The record is from RNAcentral.
CCUACGGGUUGCAGCAGUGAGGAAUAUUGGUCAAUGGACGCAAGUCUGAACCAGCCAUGCCGCGUGCAGGAAGACGGCUCUAUGAGUUGUAAACUUCUUUUGUACGAGGGUAAACUCAGAUACGCGCAUCUGUCUGAAAGUAUCUUACGAAUAAGGAUCGGCUAACUCCGUGCCAGCAGCCGCGGUAAUACGGAGGGUUCUAGCGUUAUCCGGAUUUAUUGGGUUUAAAGGGUGCGUAGGCGGUCUGAUAAGUUAGAGGUGAAAUCCCGGGGCUCAAAUUCGGACUUGCCUCUGAUACUGGUCGGCUAGAGAGUAGUUGCGGUAGGCGGAAUGUAUGGUGUAGCGGUGAAAUGCUUAGAGAUCAUACAGAACACCGAUUGCGAAGGCAGCUUACCAAGCUACUUCUGACGCUGAGGCACGAAAGCGUGGGGAGCAAACAGGAUUAGAUACCCCUGUAGUC